RNAcentral lists this ribosomal RNA (160 nucleotides) under uncultured bacterium. Its description in RNAcentral is "partial 16S rRNA". It matches the Rfam family "Bacterial small subunit ribosomal RNA", at positions 355 to 507 of the family's 1533-position model. The record is from RNAcentral.
UAGGGAAUUUUCGGCAAUGGGGGAAACCCUGACCGAGCAACGCCGCGUGAAGGAAGAAGGUUUUCGGAUUGUAAACUUCUGUUAUAAAGGAAGAACGGCGGCUACAGGAAAUGGUAGCCGAGUGACGGUACUUUAUUAGAAAGCCACGGCUAACUACGUG